UAUUCUGCCCCAUGGGGAAGGAUGAGAAGCUACGACUAAGGUUCGACUCGAGCGAAGCGAGAGAACGUUGCCGCAGGCAACGUCCCGAAGGGAGAGGCGCUUUAGCGACGAGUACUCCCACCCCCACCACCA
This 132-nucleotide small RNA is filed under the name Klebsiella pneumoniae. Its description in RNAcentral is "RtT sRNA". It matches the Rfam family "RtT RNA". Rfam says of the family: This family represents a bacterial cis-regulatory element known as RtT RNA. The exact function of RtT is unknown although it is thought that it may be involved in changing the cellular response in relation to amino acid starvation. Lineage: Bacteria; Pseudomonadati; Pseudomonadota; Gammaproteobacteria; Enterobacterales; Enterobacteriaceae. The record is from RNAcentral.